UUUCACAAAUCAAUCCAUUUCUCUCUCAACUCUCUCUCUCUAAAAUUCAUAAUCGUGGUUAAAGAAACAAGUGAACUCCAUUAUACUUACAUGUCUAGAGCUCCCAAUUCAUUGUUCCCUUAAAUCCAGAGCUCCCAAUUCAUUGUUCUCCUCAUCCCCAAAAUCAUCAUCCAACCCAGAAGACAUUCAACAAACAUAAACCCUAACUCUCUCUAAACUGAACUCCAUUAUACUUACAUGCCCUCCUUCGUUGCAGGUACUGUUAGGAGAUUUGUUGGUGGAUUGAUACGGAAUAUGAUGAAUGUCACGAAAGGUCAAAUUUGUUGUAGAGUUGCGUUGUUGAUUUGAACAAAUACAUUUGGAGUUAAUAUCCUCUAGGGCUUGCAUCUUCAUCUCCCCUCGCCUGUCACUUCUCCGCCUCGCACCUCAUCCUCAUCCGCCAUCGCGUAAUUGGCUUGCUAUGGUGUUCUAAGGUUUGUUAUGGAGAAUGAGGCAAAAGGAUGCGAGGUGCUCGUGAGCUUUGCAAGUCAAAUCAUGGCUGGACAAUGAGACCACAUCCGCUCUCUGCCUUCUGCGAAACCAUCCAGACAAGCUCAUUGACAUAGUUAACAAAGGCCAUAGAGGCAUUAGUGACUGAUUAUGAUAAUGGUUUUGAAGACGUUGAAGAUGAAUAUUCUCAGAUAAAUGAAUCAGAGAGGACUGAUGCUUUGGAGAGGGCAAUGAGAGGGUUCCCUGAGAAUAAAGUCACUUAAUGAAGAGCGAAAGAUGUUUGAAUCACAAGGAGGCUUGAUUUUUCUUUCUCUCAGGUCACAAUUUGAACUACAAUUUAUUGUCCUUAUUUUUGUAUAUAAUUACCGAUUUACGGAUCAUUAAAUUAUGAUUUCAAUCUUUUUAUGAUAAAAUUCAUGAAUUUGUGGGAAUUUUUAACUUUUUGUUGAUUACAAAUUGUUUAAAUGAUGUUUGGUGCAGACAUAUACUGGUGUUGAAGCUUUGGUAAACUUUCGAAUCCUUUUACUUGUGUUUAUACGUUCAAGUACUUAAACUGGACUAUUAAUAUGCCCAGGAGUCAUGGAUUACUAUUCCAAGUGGUUAACUUGGUAUUUUAUUUAAUAAUGUUAUUAGAAGAAUAGCAGCUUUAAGCCACUGUAAUUGUGAACAUGUUAAAGUUAUUAACUUAAAAUCAUUUUUUAAAUCUUGAAUAUUUGGCUUUGUGAAAUAGAUAUAUUUGGCGUGGGGGCUCAGUUGCUACCUUUAUGUUCAGUAUUGCAUCUACUACUUUUCAAGGUCAAACAUGAACGGAUUUUUGCAGUCAACAUUCUUCUUUUGCUAUAAUAUACUAUUCUGCUCUGCGUUCUUCACGAUGCUCAAGUGAUUAUAUUUAGAGUGAAAGGUGUGGUCUAAAAGACGGCGAACGCUCUUCCGGAGCUAAGGCAAUUAUCGUAUAGAUCUGAGUUUCCUCCUAUUGAAAAUGCCUUACAUCUGAAGCAAUAUCCUUACUUGCACAACUUGGUUUAAAUUUGCUUUUGAUCGGGUUUUGUUAACUUUAUUUGUUAGAAAGUUUUACUAUUAAAAGAAUUUAGAGUACUCAUUUGUGAUUUGAUCUUCAUAUUUCAUAUAUUCAUUUUGGAAUUCUUA
This is a long non-coding RNA of Helianthus annuus (common sunflower), 1635 nucleotides long. RefSeq lists it as uncharacterized. The record is from RefSeq and is a predicted model, not a curated record. The transcript is spliced from 6 exons. NCBI's taxonomy places the organism in Eukaryota, Viridiplantae, Streptophyta, Magnoliopsida, Asterales, Asteraceae.